AGCUUUUAAUGAAGUGUAAGGCUUAUUAAUUUCAUUUUGAAGCAUGUGUGUUUUGUUCUUUUUCUUUCUUUCUUUCUUUCUUUGUUUUUUUGUUUAUUUUUGGAAAAUUAUCUUUCACUGUUACCAUCAUAACAUCACUUGGUGUUGCACCUAUAGAAAACAACCACGAAGAAAUGUUCCAUUCAGCAGGCCAAUCACAACUUACAUUUCCUUUAAUGGAAAAUGUUCAUAGGUCAUGACAUCUGUUAAUAGGAAGUGUUGUUGUCUUCUAACUCCAGGUUAUCGUCAUUAGACAUGGACGGGGUGCAUGCAUUUCUGGUUGUUCUUUUAGGAGCUUUAUCUUCCAGUCAAGAUCUGAGAAAUGCAUCGGUGAUAGAGAUGAGAGUCAGACCAGGAGAAAACAUCACUCUCUACUGUGAUUGUAAAUCAUCAGUUGGAGUCUACAUAGUGUGGUACAGGAAUUGUUCUCAUGAGAAGCAGCCUUCCCUGGUAUUAAAAACCUGGCUUCAUCUGAAAUAUCGUGUCCCACACUCAGAUUAUCAGUCUGCUUACUUCCAUCUCCUGAAUCCAUUUCCUGAUUUUCAUCUGGUAAAGAACAAUUUCUCUCAAUCUUAUGACCUGCUGAUCACAAACAUCACUGAGACUGAUGAGGGCCUUUACUACUGUGGAACUGAACAGCUCAAGGUUAAGGAAGAAGAAAAAAUUAUCCAAGAACAUGUGCACACAUAUAGUAAUAUCACAACGAAAAUCGUGCUUCAUAAGGAUUCUGACUCCACUGACUCCAGUCCUUGCUCUGACUCCUGUGUUUCCAGUGUUGUGUCCAGGAUGAUGGUGCUUACUCCAGCAUGUUCUAUUUUCCUUUCCUUUAUCUCCUUUGUAUUUGUUUAUCAACUGUGUGAAAAAACAGAAAAAGGACUUAAAAUUCAUCAGAAAAUAACAAGACAGUAUGAGGUAAGAUUAAGAACUUUUUCUUCUUCGUCUGUUAAUUAGCAUUAGAUUUACAUGAGCGCAUAUGGAUGAAUCAUGUCUAUCCCCAUUCUUUUAAUGAUAUGUGCUACUCAAGAAGAACAUGUCUAUUUUAAAACACUUUUAAAAUCAUUUUUAAAUAGUAUUGAUUAAGUUUUCAUAAUUAAAUUAAAAACUAUUUUGAAAUUCCAUGAACUACAUGCUUGUAAGGAGAAUGCUAAAAAAGCUUCUUUGUAUCAUGGAUAACCCCUCUCACCCCAUGCACGCCUCCAUGAUGGACCAUCGGAGCACACGCAGCAAAAGACUCAUUGUCCCGAAAUGCAGAACUAACCCCCACAGGAAUUCCUUUGUGCCAGUGGCAAUAAGACUGUACAACUCUUCCUCACCCUGAUGAAGACUUGUGUUUAACAGAAGUCUUGUUCGGGGCUCAGGAUGGAUAUAAACAUCAAUAGAGAAAAUGAAGAAAACAUUGGGAAUUUUUCACAUUUUCAAAGACAAAUAAAAUCCCAGGGUAUUACAAUAGUUGUAACUUGCCAGUCUUAUUGUCAUGGUCCAGAGUCUGGUGACUCCAUGUUUGUGUUUUUUGAUUAUUAAUAUUCUUUAGUUAGUUUCUGGUGUUCUUUAAUGAUUUUUAGAUCUUAGGUUUUGUCAUUGUGCCUCCCUUGUGCUCCAUGUGUCACGUUCAGUCAUGUUUUCAUGUUUGUGCUUCUCAUGGUUUCCUUGUCAAAUCUGCGCCUCAAUGCCUGUCUCGUGUUUCCAGUUUUACUUUGAUAGUCUCAUGUCCUGUGUUCAGUGUUUUGAGUUUUGCUUCCCCCUUGUUUCAUUAUGUCAGAUUAGUCCCAGCUGUGUUUCCCUCCUGUUUUCCAUUCCCUCAUUACUCCCUUGUGUAUUUAAGCCCUGUGUUUUCCUCUGACCUUUGUUGUGUUCUAAACCCUCAUUGCUGUGUGUCUCCUCGGUGCACCUGACAAUUCCUAGUUCUCUGGUCCUGGUUUGUUUUGUAGUUUUGAGUUUCUUGUUUCUAGUUCUCAUGUAGUUUUCUCCAGCAAAUAAAGCUGCCAUUUUGAGUUCAACCUUUGAGUUUGGGUCCUCAUCCUGCCGACAGUUUUAGCUUUUAUCUUCUUUUUGUUGUUGUUGUUGUUGCUUUUCCUUUCAAUGACUUGUAAAGUAUUAAAAAAAAUUGUCAAAGUUGUAUUUGCAAAUGUUCACAUAUCCAGAAACUAUAUAUAAUAUAGUCAAUUGUUCAUUGUAUACUCUGGCAUAUUGAUUGUAAUGGAUUGCAAUACUAAAUAUUUUAAAAGAAAAAAAAAAGCUUUACAAAUAAAAGAAAUGUCUGCCUGUCAGAUGAGUAUUUUUCUGGUGAGAGUAUGUAAUAUCAUUACAAAAUAGUUUUUCUUUAUC
RNA transcript from Oreochromis niloticus (Nile tilapia), 2364 nucleotides. RefSeq lists it as uncharacterized. Lineage: Eukaryota; Metazoa; Chordata; Actinopteri; Cichliformes; Cichlidae. The record is from RefSeq and is a predicted model, not a curated record. The transcript is spliced from 6 exons.